Long non-coding RNA from Lycium barbarum (goji berry), 713 nucleotides. RefSeq lists it as uncharacterized. The transcript has 3 exons. The record is from RefSeq and is a predicted model, not a curated record. Lineage: Eukaryota; Viridiplantae; Streptophyta; Magnoliopsida; Solanales; Solanaceae.
UGUUCAUUUUAUCAUCUUCAACAUUACAAGAAAAGAGAAAAACCUAGAGAUAGAGAAGGGGGGGCUCACGGCCAUGGUGAAAAAAAAUCCAUGUUCACCAAGCUUGGUCCAAUUAAUUUUUCCAUGGUGUUGUAAAUCAAAUGGAGGUCUUUGGGAACAUGAAUUGGUCCUUGAGAGCAGCAAGAAUGGUCUUUAAUUGAAGCCAUUAAAUUCAGCAAAUUAAGGAGCAACUUGCUAAGACCUUGGGCAGCCCGAAUCAUAGGUUGGAUUUAGCUUGAGUUUGGAUCGUAUUGGAGAGCGUUUGAGGUACAGACGCACACCCUGGUGAUCCACCUGUUUAGGACACCCUUUCUGCUAUUCGGAGGGCUCCUCUCUUUCCGGAGCUUAUACUUUUGGUAUAUAUAUUUAUUAGUGCAUUUGUAUAUAUUCGUUCAUGGGUACGGCGGGGCCCUGUCCCGUCAUAUGAUUCUGUCGGUCUGUUUAGAGGUCUGUGGACAUGUUUGUGGGUUAGGGUUUUUCUGUAUAGAUGUAUGUACAUGUCGUUUGGGCGAUCCCAUACGCCGAGGCGGCCGGUCCGCAUAUGUUGUUUGGGCGAUCCUAUACGCCGAGGCGGCCGGUCCGCAUAUGUUUAUAUAUUGCUUGGUUAGCCCUGUGUGGCUUUUGUUGGUAUUUUCUGCGUGCAGGGUAUAUUGGAUAGUCCGUAAAACAAAAGA